RNAcentral lists this transfer RNA (73 nucleotides) under Podarcis lilfordi (Lilford's wall lizard). RNAcentral describes it as "tRNA.Lys". The stretch from base 9 to 65 matches the Rfam family "tRNA", at positions 9 to 63 of the family's 71-position model. From Rfam's summary of the family: Transfer RNA (tRNA) molecules are approximately 80 nucleotides in length. The record is from RNAcentral. Lineage: Eukaryota; Metazoa; Chordata; Lepidosauria; Squamata; Lacertidae.
GCUUGGACAGCUUAGCUGGUAGAGCAUGAGACUCUUAAUGUUAGGGUUGUGGGUUCAAGCCCCACGUUGGGUG